GAUGAACGCUGGCGGCGUGCCUAAUACAUGCAAGUCGAACGAAACUUCUUUAUCACUGAGUGCUUGCACUCACCGAUAAAGAGUUGAGUGGCGAACGGGUGAGUAACACGUGGGCAACCUGCCCAAAAGAGGGGGAUAACACUUGGAAACAGGUGCUAAUACCGCAUAACCAUAGUUACCGCAUGGUAACUAUGUAAAAGGUGGCUAUACUACCGCUUUUGGAUGGGCCCGCGGCGCAUUAGCUAGUUGGUAGGGUAAAGGCUUGCCAAGGCAAUGAUGCGUAGCCGAAUUGAGAGGUUGAUCGGCCACAUUGGGACUGAGACACGGCCCAAACUCCUACGGGAGGCAGCAGUAGGGAAUCUUCCACAAUGGGCGAAAGCCUGAUGGAGCAACGCCGCGUGGGUGAAGAAGGUCUUCGGAUCGUAAAACCCUGUUGUUAGAGAAGAAAGUGCGUGAGAGUAACUGUUCACGUUUCGACGGUAUCUAACCGGAAAGCCACGGCUAACUACGUG
Molecule: ribosomal RNA, 512 nt
Filed under: uncultured bacterium
Lineage: Bacteria
Description: partial 16S ribosomal RNA
Rfam family: Bacterial small subunit ribosomal RNA
Source: RNAcentral